This 907-nucleotide unclassified non-coding RNA is filed under the name Bombus terrestris (buff-tailed bumblebee). Its description in RNAcentral is "misc RNA ENSBTSG00005023936.1". The stretch from base 687 to 763 matches the Rfam family "mir-9/mir-79 microRNA precursor family". The record is from RNAcentral. Lineage: Eukaryota; Metazoa; Arthropoda; Insecta; Hymenoptera; Apidae.
GAAAAAGGCACGCGGGUCAACGGAUACCUAUAAAACGAUAGAGACAAGAGGGGAAUAUACGAGACGCCGCGCCGCGUGGAAGGAUCGUGAACUCGCGGCAAACCAGAAGAGUAUUCGGGAACGAGGAGAACGAGAAGAACGAGAUGCCGGCGCGAGGAAAGGCAAACGAGGCAACGCGAUAAAGAACGAAUCAACCAGGUAGAAAGACAGGGAUGCCGCGGUGAAGUUGCGAGAGAGCCGGCCAAACGAGAAGACCGACCAAAGAAGGAGAGGGAGAAGAAGAGAACGAUAGAAGACGGAUGUAUAUAGGUAGGAGGACAGGUAGUCGGCUCGAGGAAAGAAGAGACCGAGCGAAGAGCACACGGGGGAAAGAAGAGACGAAAGAAAAGGGAGGAUCCGCGAGGGGGAGUGGAGCGAGUGGGGACACCAUCGACACGUGCAUGCCAUUAUCUGCACCGGGAAAUAGUGGAUUUUCGAUCGAGAGGGAGACGCUCGCUCGUAUAAACAGCCGUUAACGAUCGAUCCGUAUGUUUACCGAUUUUUACGAUCUCGAGAAUAGAAGGCCCGACAUUGUCGGAUGAAUAGGCCGGCAGCAAAGAAGGUUUUCGAUUCUCGACGGUUUGAUUGGCUGGCACGACUAAAUUUGCAAGUAUUUCGACACUCGAAGCGACAAGAAGAUCUUGGCGCGGACAUUUUCUUUGGUUAUCUAGCUGUAUGAGUAUUAUUCGACAUCAUAAAGCUAGGUUACCGGAGUUAAGCUCCUCGCCAUAUCAACUCCACGGAUUCUUCUUCCCCGUUUCGAUUUGCUACUCAAGUAACCGUAAACCGAUGGAUGUAAAAAUUAAUGAAAUCAUUAAAUAUAUGUAACUAUAAGUAUUAAAAAAAACCAUAUAUAUAUAUAUAUAUA